GGGAAGAGCUCAAAUUUGAAAUCUGGUAGCCUUCGGUUGCCCGAGUUGUAAUCUAGAGAAGUGUUUUCCGUGCCGGCCCAUGUACAAGUCCCUUGGAACAGGGCGUCAUAGAGGGUGAGAAUCCCGUCCUUGACAUGGACCCCCGGUGCUUUGUGAUACACUUUCAACGAGUCGAGUUGUUUGGGAAUGCAGCUCAAAAUGGGUGGUGAAUUCCAUCUAAAGCUAAAUAUUGGCGAGAGACCGAUAGCGAACAAGUACCGUGAGGGAAAGAUGAAAAGCACUUUGGAAAGAGAGUUAAACAGUACGUGAAAUUGUUGAAAGGGAAACGAUUGAAGUCAGUCAUGCUCUUGGGACUUACCUCCCUUGAGUGGGGUCAACAUCAGUUUUGAUCGAUGGAUAAAGGCACGGGGAAGGUAGCACUCUCGGGUGAACUUAUAGCCUCGCGUCAUAUACAUUGAUUGGGACUGAGGAACGCAGCAUGCCUUUUGGCCGGGAUUCGUCCACGUACAUGCUUAGGAUGUUGACAUAAUGGCUUUAAACGACCCGUCUU
This 550-nucleotide ribosomal RNA is filed under the name Naganishia albida. Its description in RNAcentral is "partial 26S ribosomal RNA". It matches the Rfam family "Eukaryotic large subunit ribosomal RNA", at positions 100 to 655 of the family's 3401-position model. Lineage: Eukaryota; Fungi; Basidiomycota; Tremellomycetes; Filobasidiales; Filobasidiaceae. The record is from RNAcentral.